RNAcentral lists this long non-coding RNA (1548 nucleotides) under Mytilus galloprovincialis (Mediterranean mussel). Lineage: Eukaryota; Metazoa; Mollusca; Bivalvia; Mytilida; Mytilidae. The record is from RNAcentral.
UUUUAUCCUUAACGAUGCUCUACCAGUUUAUAGUAUCAUUUUCAAAUUCUUAAUUUAUUAAUUUUUACCUAACCUCACCUAAGUACAUCCUUAAGGAAAGGAUUGUAAGGAUUGUAAGACAUGGCAGUAUAAGGAGACUCAUUGCAGUUUGGAGAAAUGAAUCACAGCGUUGCUGAUUUAAUUUGAAAAUCCUAUUAUAAUGAUAGGGUUAUUACACAAAUAUGUACCAAUUAUCAGGAUGUCUGCAUGUUGGAAUUGUUAAAUCUCGGCUGAUAUUUUAUAAUAUGAAUACCAUGAAAAUCUGAUAAUUGUGUUGAGGAGUGAUACAGAAAGUGGGAACACUGAUAAAAAUGAAUAUUGUCCCUUACAUAUCAUAUUUAACUUGUUAUCUCCUGCAAAAUGUAUUACUCCUUGAGACGAGGUUUCCAUAUAUAUAUGUAUUAGUGCAAUAUCCCAGUUUUAUACAUCAAGUUCAAUAUGGCGUGCCACAUAACCAGUUUCUUUUUUUUUUAACAUCCUUUUUCACACAUAGAUCUGAAGAAGCUUGACAAAAAUUCAGUCUCAACCUGAAAUUGACGCUUUAUCCUGGUUUUCAAUUAUUUUUCCUGAAUAUGUUCCUAUGGAAGUAAAGGUAAAUCCCUUGUGUGAAUUGUAUUUUUUUCCAUAUAUUUAUAUUGCAUGAUGAUUUUGUUGAUAAUGUCUAAAAUUUUAGUAACCUGAACUGGUUUUGUGGAUGGAACUGUACAUUAAAUCAAAAUUUUUGAUGAACAAAAACAUGUAGUAACAAAAUGUAGUCUUAAUUUUUUUUCUUGAAAUAGGGAAAUGAAUGAAAUUGUGAUAAUGCAAUCAAUUAGUAUGAUGAAUAUCUAUAAUUUUCUAGGUAUACUAUUUUUAUUUGCUUCAGUAAAAGAUCAUGGCAGUGAAAAUACUGCAAACCAACUAAUUUUCAGGAGCUUAGUAGAUAAAAAAAAAAAUAUGUGAAAAUAGAUCAUUGUGAAUAUGUAAAACUUGGAUCUUUCCUCAAUUGACUACUGGUAAAUUAAGUUUACAUGUACUUGAAAAAUCAUGAAAUGGGAUUGAAAGGGCUAAACACAUAAUAAAGUAUAAAGUAAUAAAAUAAGUUGGUUACAGUAAAGUUAUAUACUUCUGUGACAACAUGCCCAAUUUCAUAACAACUCAUACUUGAUUUACUUUUGCUGUUUUUCAUUUGUUAUACAUGAUGAUGUACUACAUUAUAUUUGAAAACCUGUGGAGAGGUUUGUUCAGUUAAGAAUGUUAUAAAAUUAAGAUUUUGGAAUUAUAAAAUAUCUCAAAUUUUCAAAUCUGACACUGUCAUUUAUAUCAAUAUUAACUGUAACAGCUAUAUUAUGACUGAUGGAGGGAUAUUCCAUGAAAGAACAAUGUGAUUAAAAAAACAAAUCCUAAAUAAACUGUUCUAUAGUAAUCUGAGUUUUUAUUUAUAUCAUAUAUGUAUUGAUCAAGAAUCCUAAUGGUUUACUUUGGGACUUUCUACUUACAGGUUUAAGGGCCCUUGGUGGCCAAGUCAAG